GACUCCUGCGCAAGCGCAGAGUGAAGGGCCGGGAACAGUGGAGGGUGCGAGGAAGACAAUGGGGGAGGACCCUGAGGCGGCCUCUGUGAGCCGACAGGAACACGUGGUCGAUCAGAGAGAGACUCGAGGUUCGUGAACGGAUGGGGAGGACCCUGAAAAGCACUGUGGAAUACAGGUUUCUAGUAACUUCAAAAUCACAUCAUUUGGACUGGGUAAGAAUUGCUGAAACUUUAAUGAAAAGACUGACUGGCUUAUAAAACUGCUAACCCAAAUAGAAUAAAAAUUAAUUGAAUACCGAGGAAAUGCUUCACCAGGUUUGCAUACUUAAUCAGCCUAUACUGAAAUUGUUUAGAUAUACAAUUUGAAUGAACUCCAUGGUCUAAGUCAAAUUACCUGUGAUAACCCAUCAGUUAUCC
RNAcentral lists this long non-coding RNA (416 nucleotides) under Homo sapiens (human). RNAcentral describes it as "non-protein coding lnc-PDGFA-17:15". Lineage: Eukaryota; Metazoa; Chordata; Mammalia; Primates; Hominidae. The record is from RNAcentral.